This is an unclassified non-coding RNA of Pan paniscus (pygmy chimpanzee), 317 nucleotides long. Its record names the gene 7SK. It matches the Rfam family "7SK RNA". Rfam says of the family: 7SK was discovered as an abundant small nuclear RNA in the mid-70s but a possible function has only recently been suggested. Two independent studies have found that 7SK RNA binds the CDK9/cyclin T complex (known as elongation factor P-TEFb). P-TEFb activates transcription by phosphorylating the C-terminal domain of RNA polymerase II. The record is from Ensembl. NCBI's taxonomy places the organism in Eukaryota, Metazoa, Chordata, Mammalia, Primates, Hominidae.
GGAUGUGAGGGCGAUUUGGCUGUCAUAUCUGUCGCUCCAUUGAUCACCAGGGUUGAUUCGGCUGAUCUGCUGGCUAGCCCGGUGUCCCCUUCCCCACUAGCACUCCAUGUGCGUCCCUCCCGAAGCUGUGUGUUUGGUCAAAGAGAAUGACCAUCCCUGAUAGAGGACCGGUCUUCAGUCAGGGUAUGUGAGUAGCUGCACUCCCCUGCUAGAGCCUCCAGACAGGCUCCAUUCGUAGGCGAAUGUAGAGUCGUCAACCUUCCAAGACUCCAGACACAUCCAAAUGAGGCACUGCAUGUGGCAGUCUGCCUUUCUAA